GUGCAGCAGGCGCGAAACUUUACAAUGUGCGAAAGCACGAUAAGGGAACUCUGAGUGCCUCCUAAGGAGGCUGUUCAGGUGUCUAAAAGCACCUGAAGGAAGGGCUGGGUAAGACCGGUGCCAGCCGCCGCGGUAACACCGGCAGCCCAAGUGGUAGCCACGUUUAUUGGGUCUAAAGCGUCCGUAGCCGGCUGGGUAAGUUCCUUGGGAAAUUUGGCUGCUUAACAGCCAAGCUUUCAGGGAAUACUGCUCGGCUUGGGACCGGGAGAGGUCAGAGGUACUCCAGGGGUAGGGUGAAAUCCAUUAAUCCUUGGGGGACCACCGGUAGCGAAGGCGUCUGACCAGACCGGGUCCGACGGUGAGGGACGAAGGCUAGGGGCGCGAACCGG
This 389-nucleotide ribosomal RNA is filed under the name uncultured microorganism. Its description in RNAcentral is "bacterial SSU rRNA". It matches the Rfam family "Archaeal small subunit ribosomal RNA", at positions 330 to 727 of the family's 1478-position model. The record is from RNAcentral.